Molecule: ribosomal RNA, 474 nt
Filed under: uncultured organism
Description: partial 16S ribosomal RNA
Rfam family: Bacterial small subunit ribosomal RNA
Source: RNAcentral
ACUCCUGCGGGAGGCAGCAGUGGGGAAUUUUGGACAAUGGGCGAAAGCCUGAUCCAGCAAUGCCGCGUGCAGGAUGAAGGCCUUCGGGUUGUAAACUGCUUUUGUACGGAACGAAAAAGCUCCUUCUAAUACAGGGGGCCCAUGACGGUACCGUAAGAAUAAGCACCGGCUAACUACGUGCCAGCAGCCGCGGUAAUACGUAGGGUGCGAGCGUUAAUCGGAAUUACUGGGCGUAAAGCGUGCGCAGGCGGUUAUGUAAGACAGAUGUGAAAUCCCCGGGCUCAACCUGGGAACUGCAUUUGUGACUGCAUGGCUAGAGUACGGUAGAGGGGGAUGGAAUUCCGCGUGUAGCAGUGAAAUGCGUAGAUAUGCGGAGGAACACCGAUGGCGAAGGCAAUCCCCUGGACCUGUACUGACGCUCAUGCACGAAAGCGUGGGGAGCAAACAGGAUUAGAAACCCUGGUAGUCCCAUGA